UACGAAAGGGACUAGCGUUGUUCGGAAUUACUGGGCGUAAAGCGCACGUAGGCGGCCUUGUAAGUUGGGGGUGAAAUCCCGGAGCUCAACUCCGGAACUGCCUUCAAGACUGCAAAGCUCGAGGACGCGAGAGGUUAGCGGAAUUCCGAGUGUAGAGGUGAAAUUCGUAGAUAUUCGGAAGAACACCAGUGGCGAAGGCGGCUAAGUGGCGCGGUUCUGACGCUGAGGUGCGAAAGCGUGGGGAGCAAACAGG
RNAcentral lists this ribosomal RNA (253 nucleotides) under uncultured bacterium. Its description in RNAcentral is "partial 16S ribosomal RNA". It matches the Rfam family "Bacterial small subunit ribosomal RNA", at positions 524 to 776 of the family's 1533-position model. The record is from RNAcentral.